GUAAAACUUGGUUUGACAUUCCAAUUUACCACUGUACUACAAUUUUUGAGGACGAGACAUGAUGUUUCAGAUCUUUCAUUCCUCGUCACUGGCAAGGACAAGUGCAGCAUGAUAGCUCGCAUUCUACAAAUGUACACGCUAAAACAUUAAAACAUGUAAUAGCAAUUAUUGCGACAUGAAAGGCUAAAUUAAGGUAGGUCUCAAUUGGCAAAAGCAUUCAAUGUAUUGUAACUUGGCUUAGCUGUAAUAAAAACAAAUGUGUCCCAUGAUCUUUCUCUUUUCUUUUUAGUAUAAUUUGCUAGAAUAAAGCAGCAAGCUCCAUGAAUGAGAAAGAGGAGUAAGACAUGAUCAUAGGACCCCAAUUCGAAAGGAACCAGUAGCUUUGCAGUCUUGAACCAAACAUAUCUACCACAAAUAACAUCUAGGUUUAAUAACACCAAAUUAUAGAGUUGUACUAAUCAUAACUUCUGAAAUUGAAAUAAAACAUAAAUAACAAAGAAAUUGAGGAAAAUUAAUAGAAAAAUGCAUAUAUGUCUGCAUAUGUACUCAAAAGUAUUAAGGAUGGCCGAGAAGCAGAAGUAACAUUUGACAAAUUUGACCAUGGACCAAUGAUGGAUAAUGAGUAUUUGUUGAGCUAUUUUUUCGGAGAAAAAAAGCAGCUGCUUGUCUCUUAAAAUACCUCUUCAGUAUUACUCAUAAUGGUCUUUCUUGCUUCCAAAUGAGGAAAAAAUAAACAGAAAACGGGGAUAUGAAAAAUAAAGUAACAGGAUGAUACUUUAGCUAUUUCAAGUCCUAAUCGCCUUGUUCCUUAAGAGUGAGAUUGUGACGGUGCAAUUUAGUUGGUUGUCAAUUUUGAUCACACUCUCACACAUGAACUAUACAGCAAUUCCUUGCACCCACCAAAAAAAAUAUUUAAUUACCUUUUGACAAGAUGGAUUCUCUGCUGAAGAACGGAUCCAAGGAAGUACCACGAUCAUGAAGGAAUAGCUCAACCCACCCAGAUGUAUACUCAAGUUGAUUCCGACUUCGACGAUUGCCGAAUCCAAAUAAAAGAAAUACACUAGAAUCUUAGCUACGAAAGUGGAUGCAUUUCCCAUCUAUACUUUAUUUGAAUUCAAAAAAGUGUGACCUCUAGUUCAAAAAUAAAGUUACUAUUUCAUACAUAUAUACAUAUUCGAAAGGUGAAUUUAUUGUUAGCCUAUCCAUAAUACAAAUGAGACUUCAAGGAUCAUCUUAUAUGGAGUCGUAUAACAGUCAAAAGUGAGUGACUGUUCAUCGGAAUUGUUAUACUCCAAAUAUUCAUAACGUUGGUCGACGCCCGCCUCCCUCCCAAUUGUACUUGCAAGUUUCCCCUGUCGUAAAGUUCAUUGUUCGUUCCGUCGUUGACCCUAUCUAUGUUUCUACAAUGGCCCAAGAACACGAUCAUUCUUUAGCCGUAGAGAGACUUUUGAAUUGCUAGGUACCACUACGAGCUCAAUAUAUACGAGUGUUAUUCCGUGAAAUAACUCGAAAUUCAAAUCAUUCACUUGCUUUAACUACUCAUGCUAGUCUGCUCAUUUCAUUUAUGACGCAAAAUUGGAAUUAUAUAUAUAUAUAUAUAUAUAUAUAUAUAUAUAGGAGAAGGAUCCUGUCCGGACUCCCGGACAGGCUUAAAAUGCAGACCUUUAAAUUUAUUUAUUUUUUUUGCUCUUUUUUUUAAAACAACUAAAAAAAAUAAUUAUGGAACUGGAAUUUUUACAUAAUACAGUGUUUUGGGUGUGAUUUGGAUACAUAUAACAAAACAUGUCUGUACAGACUGUACACACCUAAAACACUGUAUUAUGUAAAAAUUCCAGUUCCAUAAUUAUUUUUUUUAGUUGUUUUAAAAAAAAAACAAAAAAAAAAAAGUUUCGUAUUUUGGUAAAGUCCGGGAUCCUAUCCGAACUUUCUUAAAAUACGGAUUUUUUUUUUGUUUUUUUUUUAAAACAACUAAAAAAAAUUUAAUAUUUUAUGGAACUGGAAUUUUUAUAUAAUACAGUGUUUUGGGUGCGUAUAACAAAACAUGUAUAUAUAGUCUACUGUACAUACAUAUUUUGUUAUAGGUAUCCAAAUCACGCCCAAAACAUUGUAUUAUGGAAAAAUUCCAAUUCCAUAAAAUAUUAAAAUUUUCUUUUAGUUGUUUUAAAAAAAAAGUGUACGGAUUUGAUCAGGUCCGGGAGUCCGGACCUGAUCCGCUGUAUAUAUAUAUAUUAUAGGUAAUUUUGGUUCCAAGAAUGGGGAUUAAAACUAGCAACCUUGAGGUUAUUCCUCUGCAAAUAAAAUGAAGUUAAGUUCAUUAAUAAAUCAAAAGCAUGAGAAUGAGAAAGACUGAUCACAUGGAUGGUGGAUGUUUACUCAAUUUGGCCAACAUUUUAUAAGUGGAAUUCUAGCUAAGAUUAUUUUAAAUUCCAGAAAUCAUUCAUAUAAUUUAUUCCUCAUAUUUAAUCAUUAAAAAUUUCUCUUACACUUCACAUGAAUAUUAAACAUGUAACAAACACCGACAGUACAUCCUUAGAUUUUUUUUAUUUUAUUUAAGGACCAAAAAUGAGAGGUCCGUAAGGUAUCCCAAACUCUCGGCAUGGCACAUUGCGCCUACAACAACUGCACACAUCUAAAUGAACUCCCAUCGUACCUAUGUCGAGGUCGAAGAACCAUGACCAAUCUCCUUGUUCAAAAAUAGAGGCACGACGCAAUGGCGUGUAAGACAUACAGUUGCCACCAGCCAUCUGUGGUUGGUAGAAAUCGAACCCAAGUUUGAGCAUGGUAAACGACCCACUUACAUCCUUAGAAUUUUAUGGGUACCAAAAGGAGACUAAUAAAUAACCCACUAAAAGAAACCAUUUUUACAAAGACGCAUCAGGGGAAUGGGGGUAGAUUGAAUGACUUUUAGAAUAAUCAUUACUCAUCCGUACAUUUUGUUCAUAAAAGCCAUAAGGAUGAUUAUUCUGAAGGAAAGGUCUUUCAUGUAUAUCCAUGAAUGAUACCAUGAGCCUUCCUUCAUGAGAAAAAAUUGGUCCAGUAUAGAUUUGUAAUAAAAAAAACUCAAAACCCCAACCCCCCUUCUUUUCAUCACAGCCUACAUACUAGAGAAGAGAAAGAGUAGAGCUCUGCAUCCCCACCUCCCUUCUCUAUCCCAAAUCUCCUCCAGCAAGCUCUAUACGAACUCUCAAAGGCCCGUAUGACUUUAGCCUAGAACUUUUCUACGACCUCUAUUUAAACGGUAACAAAUUUUUAUCAAAUUUGUUUAUCCACAAACGGGAUUGUAAUGUAUGUUAUUAUUUUACACACAAAUUAGCAAAACAAGGAAAACUCAUAUCACCCACUGAUUCUCGAAUAAAUUUGAGACUGCUACACAAAUGCAUCCCCAACCACAUCUGUUAAGGAAUCUCAUUAUUAUCCUCUAAGGUGCAAUUACACAAACAAAAAUUAUUCCUCACCGAGGCAUCCUAACUAUUCUCCGUUUAUAAAGGAACCUUCAUAGAAUCAUAGUUAUCACUUAAAGUAAUCCCAGAGGACGAUUCAAUGAGUUCUUAACGAUAGUCCUAUGCUAAGAGAGAGGUAUUGAAAUAUAUUAGUGCCCCCUAAAUCGGCUCAUUUAUCAUCUUCUUCACAAACAUCACCAGUCUAUAUCCUAAAUCUUAUAAUUCUAAUCAUCCUAAGCAUAUAGUCUUAUUGUCAAAGGAUUGACACAUACCAUAAUUUCAAGCAAACUGCACAAUUGGACAUAUUCCUUGCUUUAAUUUGAAUUCCUUCAUGCAUAACAUAAACAGAAAAUAAGGGGCAUAAAGAAGAUCACUCAACCAUGAAAAAAAAUUGAUAAAACAACAAAAUAGAAUCAAUCUUAAAUACAAACAUAUGGGCUUACCAGACUGUAUUCAGGAAAAUUUACUAAAAAAAGCUGCACCAGCUGUGAACACACAUACGGAUGAUUUUCCUGUUAGUGGGAGGGAAUAAGUAUCUAAUGUGGUUUUUCCGAGUUUAAUUGUGAAGGAGGAGAUAGAGAUUAAAGAAAUUUAUGAAAUGGGUAUUAGAAAUAAUUACCUAAAAUCACAAAAAGUUGAAAACUUGAGACCUAACUAGCUCCAUCAGGACCCAAAAAUUGAAUAUGCUAGGGGUGAAAUUGUGCGGCAAAAUCAAUUACAUUCGAGGAGCUUAUAUCACGCGAAUGCCUACUGCUACUGGUAUGACAAAUUUGGGUUGAAAAUAUUAAAGUAGAAUGG
RNAcentral lists this long non-coding RNA (4238 nucleotides) under Panax ginseng (ginseng). RNAcentral describes it as "long non-coding RNA (PGIN_LNC006800)". The record is from RNAcentral. Lineage: Eukaryota; Viridiplantae; Streptophyta; Magnoliopsida; Apiales; Araliaceae.